GGCGUAAAGAGUCUGUAGGCGUCCCGCCAAGUUUUCUGUUAAAUUUCUAGGGCUUAACCUUAGAGCUGCAGAAAAAACUGGUGGGAUAGAGGGCGUUAGAGGCUGAUGGAACGGUCGGUGUAGGGGUGAAAUCCGUUGAUAUCGACCGGAACACCAAUGGCGAAGGCAGUCAACUGGCCCGAUUCUGACGCUAAAGCACGAAAGUGUGGGUAGCAAACAGGAUUAGAUACCCUGGUAGUCCACACCCUAAACGAUGAGUACUAGACGUUGAGCCUUUUAAGGCCCAGUGUCUGAGCUAACGCAUUAAGUACUCCACCUGGGAAGUACGAUCGCAAGGUUGAAACUCAAAGGAAUUGACGGGGGCCCGCACAAGCAGUGGAGCAUGUGGUUUAAUUCGAUGCAACGCGAAGAACCUUACCUAGGCUUGAAACGCAAGUUAAAACUGAUGAAAGUCAGUGUGCCGCAAGGCGAACUUGUACAGGUGCUGCAUGGCUGUCGUCAGCUCGUGCCGUGAGGUGUUGGUUAAGUCCAGCAACGAGCGCAACCCUUAUCAUUAGUUGCCAACACUUCGGGUGGGAACUCUAAUGAGACUGCCUGGGUUAACCAGGAGGAAGGUGAGGAUGACGUCAAGUCAGCAUGGCCCUUAUGUCUGGGGCGACACACGUGCUACAAUGGCCAGCACAGAAGGCAGCAAAGCCGUAAGGUGGAGCAAAUCCCUAGAGCUGGUCUCAGUCCAGAUUGUAGUCUGCAACUCGACUACAUGAAGUUGGAAUUGCUAGUA
This 781-nucleotide ribosomal RNA is filed under the name uncultured Chlorobiota bacterium. RNAcentral describes it as "bacterial SSU rRNA". It matches the Rfam family "Bacterial small subunit ribosomal RNA", at positions 557 to 1340 of the family's 1533-position model. The record is from RNAcentral. Lineage: Bacteria; Pseudomonadati; Chlorobiota.